UAUGUAGGGUGCGAGCGUUGUCCGGAAUUAUUGGGCGUAAAGGGCUCGUAGGCGGUUUGUCGCGUCGGGAGUGAAAACCUACAGCUUAACUGUGGGCUUGCUUUCGAUACGGGCAGACUAGAGGUAUGCAGGGGAGAACGGAAUUCCUGGUGUAGCGGUGAAAUGCGCAGAUAUCAGGAGGAACACCGGUGGCGAAGGCGGUUCUCUGGGCAUGAUCUGACGCUGAGGAGCGAAAGCGUGGGGAGCGAACAGG
RNAcentral lists this ribosomal RNA (253 nucleotides) under uncultured bacterium. Its description in RNAcentral is "partial 16S ribosomal RNA". It matches the Rfam family "Bacterial small subunit ribosomal RNA", at positions 524 to 776 of the family's 1533-position model. The record is from RNAcentral.